GUGUGUGUAGGUGCGCGCGCUAAAUUUGUUGUCGGUUGUCAUUGACAACGGCCAGCUAUGACUGGUGCGGCGUCCGUGACAUUCAUUUCAAUCGGAGUUUGCUUGGAUCAUCUGACACACGUAAAUCGCCCCAGGUCAAUCAAACUUUCAAGCAGAAGGAUUCUAGCUGUUAUAACAAUCUGUAUUUUUGGAGGUACCAGAAUGUUCCCUGAUUGUUUCAGUGUCCCAGUGAACCUUAAAGGAGAUGACUAACAACUACAGGCAGAACAAAAUCCCUAUAGUAGUAUACUGAAUGCUACUGGAGCCCACUGAAUUCUACUGUCCCUUACAGGGGCCCACUAAACCCUACACCAACUGUCCCCUAUAGAAAUACCCAAUCUCUCACAGCAGCACACUGGCUUGUACAGGGGUCCACUGUCCCCUACGCGAACAUACUAGCCCAUGCAAGGGUACACUACCCUCUACAUCAACUGUCCCUUAUAGCAACCUACUGUGACCUAGAGAAGCAUACUGACCCCUACAGGAGCUCACUGAGCCCUAUGCUCAUUGUCCCCCCUCCCCUUAUCCCUGUCCCUACCUUAUAAAAACUUUACUCCAAAUCCAUCCUUCAGGAACUCGGUGACCACCCCACCUCUCCACCUCUCCACCAGCCAACAUCUGCUGAACCUUAGAGGAACCCACUGACCACUACUAUAACUCUUACAAGAGUUUUUCUGACCCCCAUCUAUAAACCUAUGCACCUAGAAGAAUCCAUAAAGGGCCAUAUAGAGCAGAAGGUCACUAAACACUGUAGUAACUAACUGACCCCCACCCCAUACAGGAAACCAUUGAGUGUUACCGGAGUCUGGUGACCCCUAACAGUAAACACCAAGCACCGAGAGAAGAUGAUAGAAGGCCCUAUAAGGAUCUAUAGACAGUCGGACAGUGCUGGAGGUUACUGACUACUGCUGUAACUGACCCACUGACCCCUAAAUGUUACAGGUGGCUGCUGGCCCUUGCAGUAAACCACAGUCGCAUAGAGGAGUCCUACAGGGCAGGAGGUCCUUCAGGGGCCAUACAGUACGGGUGACCACUGAUCACCAACAACAGUAAACCACAAGUGCCAAGAGUAUUUUAUAGGAGGGGGGGCCGCACAGUACAGGAACUGACCGCCAGAUUCUGACCACCAAACAAGACCCCCAAGGAAUUCUUCCCAUCCAACUAUCAUAGCAGCAAAACUCCCUCUUUUCCCUUUUGUCAUAGAAUCAUUGAUAAUGGGAGAAAUGGUGGUGAAUGUGUUAGCGUAUUAGUAGUAGUAUUAGUAGUAGUAGUAGUAGUAGUAGUAGUAGUAGUAGUAGUAGUAGCAGCA
This is a long non-coding RNA of Octopus sinensis (East Asian common octopus), 1348 nucleotides long. RefSeq lists it as uncharacterized. NCBI's taxonomy places the organism in Eukaryota, Metazoa, Mollusca, Cephalopoda, Octopoda, Octopodidae. The transcript has 3 exons. The record is from RefSeq and is a predicted model, not a curated record.